This 492-nucleotide ribosomal RNA is filed under the name uncultured bacterium. RNAcentral describes it as "partial 16S ribosomal RNA". It matches the Rfam family "Bacterial small subunit ribosomal RNA", at positions 29 to 507 of the family's 1533-position model. The record is from RNAcentral.
AGUGAACGCUGGCGGUAGGCCUAACACAUGCAAGUCGAACGGCAGCACAGUAAGAGCUUGCUCUUACGGGUGGCGAGUGGCGGACGGGUGAGGAAUACAUCGGAAUCUACUUUUUCGUGGGGGAUAACGUAGGGAAACUUACGCUAAUACCGCAUACGACCUACGGGUGAAAGCAGGGGAUCUUCGGACCUUGCGCGAUUGAUUGAGCCGAUGUCGGAUUAGCUAGUUGGCGGGGUAAAGGCCCACCAAGGCGACGAUCCGUAGCUGGUCUGAGAGGAUGGUCAGCCACACUGGAACGGAGACACGGUCCAGACUCCUACGGGAGGCAGCAGUGGGGAAGAUUGGACGAUGGGCGCAAGCCUGAUCCAGCCAUACCGCGUGGGUGAAGAAGGCCUUCGGGUUGUAAAGCCCUUUUGUUGGGAAAGAAAAGCAGCAGGUUAAUACCCCGCUGUUCUGACGGUACCCAAAGAAUAAGCACCGGCUAACUUCGUG